RNAcentral lists this ribosomal RNA (468 nucleotides) under uncultured bacterium. RNAcentral's name for it is "partial 16S ribosomal RNA". It matches the Rfam family "Bacterial small subunit ribosomal RNA", at positions 28 to 507 of the family's 1533-position model. The record is from RNAcentral.
GACGAACGCUGGCGGCGUGCUUAACACAUGCAAGUCGAACGGAAAGGCCCUGCUUUUGUGGGGUGCUCGAGUGGCGAACGGGUGAGUAACACGUGAGUAACCUGCCCUUGACUUUGGGAUAACUUCAGGAAACGGGGGCUAAUACCGGAUAGGAUCUCCUGCUGCAGGGUGGGGGUUGGAAAGUUUCGGCGGUUGGGGAUGGACUCGCGGCUUAUCAGCUUGUUGGUGGGGUAGUGGCUUACCAAGGCUUUGACGGGUAGCCGGCCUGAGAGGGUGACCGGCCACCUUGGGACUGCGAUACGGCCCAGACUCCUACAGGAGGCAGCAGUGGGGAAUCUUGCACAGUGGGCGGAAGCCUGAUGCAGCAGCGCCGCGUGCGGGAUGACGGCCUUCGGGUUGUAAACCGCUUUCGCCUGUGACGAAGCGUGAGUGACGGUAAUGGGUAAAGAAGCACCGGCUAACUACGUG